CCAGGAUCCACUCUUUCCCAGACCUCAUUUGAGAGUUGAUAGUGGAGGUGAGAGUAUCUCUGUCCCUCUCUUCCUGAGGCCUUCCAAAGAAGAUAGGCAGUGAGGAGGAGGAGGAGGAGGAGGUGAUAUUGCUGAAAACAUUUUGCAUAAUCUGCUAUUGAAGUCUAAACUGAAGACUUGCAAUGUUACUAAGAGCAAUUUGUGUACAUUUUAUUCUUCAUCGCAUAUUAAGAUCUCAAAGAUCUCAUUCUUCUCAGCUUAUGCAUUUGCUCGUGGUUGGCAGUGUCCAGCAGACAGCAGAUGCCGAAACAAAUAAAUGUGAGAAUAUGUCAUUGCAAGCAGUUGAGUUAUCCUAGUUUAAUGAGUUUCCACAAGCAGUAAUCAGUUGUGAUUUCCUCUGUCCAUCAUAUGAGAGCUAAAUGCUAAGUAUGAACAGGCAUGAGGAUUAUAGAAGGCAG
RNAcentral lists this long non-coding RNA (458 nucleotides) under Gallus gallus (chicken). Its description in RNAcentral is "lncRNA (ENSGALG00010018307.1)". The record is from RNAcentral. Lineage: Eukaryota; Metazoa; Chordata; Aves; Galliformes; Phasianidae.